Molecule: ribosomal RNA, 278 nt
Filed under: unidentified marine bacterioplankton
Lineage: Bacteria
Also listed under: 1 other name
Description: partial 16S ribosomal RNA
Rfam family: Bacterial small subunit ribosomal RNA
Source: RNAcentral
AAGUCGAACGGUAGCAGGCCCUUAGGGGUGCUGACGAGUGGCGGACGGGUGAGUAAUGCAUAGGAAUCUGCCUUGUGGCGGGGGACAACCUGGUGAAAACCAGGCUAAUACCGCAUACGCCCUACGGGGGAAAGCGGGGGACCUUCGGGCCUCGCACCAUAAGAUGAGCCUAUGUCAGAUUAGCUAGUUGGUAGGGUAAAGGCCUACCAAGGCGACGAUCUGUAGCUGGUUUGAGAGAAUGGCCAGCCACACUGGGACUGAGACACGGCCCAGACUCC